AGAGAGAGAGAGAGAGAGAGAGAUGGGAUUUAACCUCCACUCGCCACAGUUUAGGUCAUUUUAGGUCUACUAAUAUAUUAUGGUUCAAUUUCUAUUUCAAAAUUCACCGGCAUUCUACAAGGGCCAUAACUCUAGAAGUAAUUAAUGGAAAGGGGGGCAAUUUGCCCAUUAAUAGAUGAAAUAACAAUGGAGAGAGAUAGAAUGGAAGCGGGGAGAGUUUAUUUUUAGGCCAACUGGGGAGGAAGAUAAUUCCCACACGCUGGGAUAGACACUAUAAGGGGAUUUGGCAAAAAGGAUUGGGUUUGGGGUAAAACCAUUGAGAAACUUACCUUACUAGAUGCCAUAUCACUAACAGACCGGUGUGUUUGUAUCGUCUCAAGCUGAUCCAAGCACCAAUCAAGUUCUUCAAGAGUUUCCAUCGCUAGUUUAUGG
Patella vulgata (common limpet) is the source of this 432-nucleotide long non-coding RNA. RefSeq lists it as uncharacterized. The transcript is spliced from 3 exons. NCBI's taxonomy places the organism in Eukaryota, Metazoa, Mollusca, Gastropoda, Patellidae. The record is from RefSeq and is a predicted model, not a curated record.